ACUUGGGUGGCUGAGUGGUUAAGGCAUUGGACUUAGGAUCCAAUGGAUGUAUAUCUGCAUAGGUUCAAACCCCACCCCAGGUG
Molecule: non-coding RNA, 83 nt
Organism: Anguilla rostrata (American eel)
Lineage: Eukaryota; Metazoa; Chordata; Actinopteri; Anguilliformes; Anguillidae
Source: the annotation of a RefSeq genome assembly